AUCGCUUCUCGGCCUUUUGGCUAAGAUCAAGUGUAAUAUCUGUUCUUAUCAGUUUAAUAUCUGAUACGUACCACAUUGUGGUACCUUAUAUUAAAUUGAUUUUUGGGACAGGGAGAUGGAAUAGGGGCUUGCUCCGUCCACUCCGCGCAUCAAUCCGGUAUUGCAGGGACAUCAUCAAACAAAAGUAGAGUGUGUUGGGUUUUGGUAGCUCUG
RNAcentral lists this small nuclear RNA (213 nucleotides) under Petromyzon marinus (sea lamprey). Its description in RNAcentral is "U2 spliceosomal RNA (ENSPMAG00000011999.1)". The stretch from base 1 to 187 matches the Rfam family "U2 spliceosomal RNA". Rfam says of the family: U2 is a small nuclear RNA (snRNA) component of the spliceosome (involved in pre-mRNA splicing). Complementary binding between U2 snRNA (in an area lying towards the 5' end but 3' to hairpin I) and the branchpoint sequence (BPS) of the intron results the bulging out of an unpaired adenosine, on the BPS, which initiates a nucleophilic attack at the intronic 5' splice site, thus starting the first of two transesterification reactions that mediate splicing. The record is from RNAcentral. Lineage: Eukaryota; Metazoa; Chordata; Hyperoartia; Petromyzontiformes; Petromyzontidae.